RNAcentral lists this microRNA precursor (161 nucleotides) under Prunus dulcis (almond). Its description in RNAcentral is "sRNA ncRNA". The record is from RNAcentral. Lineage: Eukaryota; Viridiplantae; Streptophyta; Magnoliopsida; Rosales; Rosaceae.
AUGGGAGUGUGGAUGAGAGGGAAGAAUGGGAAGGGAGAGUAACAAAAGAGAAGCAAAAACUUGAAAGUGAAAACAAUUUCAAAUAGAUUUCAGUUUUUAGUUUUUGUUUUCACUUUUGUUACUCAUUCCUCCUAUCCUCCCCUCUCAUCUUCCCUCUCAAU